This is a small nuclear RNA of Protopterus annectens (West African lungfish), 172 nucleotides long. RefSeq annotates it as U1 spliceosomal RNA. The transcript has a single exon. The record is from RefSeq and is a predicted model, not a curated record. NCBI's taxonomy places the organism in Eukaryota, Metazoa, Chordata, Ceratodontiformes, Protopteridae.
GUACUUACCUGGCAGGGGGAAUACCAUGAUCAACAAGGUGGUUUCCCCAGGGUGAGGCUCUUCCAUUGCACAUUUUGGUUGAGUUGACCCCUGUGAAUUCCCCAAAUGACGGAAACUCAACUGCAUAAUUUCUGGUAGUGGGAAUAUAAGAGCAAUAUUUAAAAUCUGUCUG